RNAcentral lists this ribosomal RNA (478 nucleotides) under uncultured bacterium. Its description in RNAcentral is "partial 16S ribosomal RNA". It matches the Rfam family "Bacterial small subunit ribosomal RNA", at positions 28 to 507 of the family's 1533-position model. The record is from RNAcentral.
GAUGAACGCUGGCGGCGUGCCUAACACAUGCAAGUCGAACGGAGUCCAGCCUUUAAGACCUUCGGGUCAAAGAGGGGAAGACUGAGUGGCGGACGGGUGAGUAACACGUGGGCAACCUGGCUCAUAGAGGGGGAUAACAGAGAGAAAUUUCUGCUAAUACCGCAUAAGCACACACUGCCGCAUGGCAGAGGGUGAAAAGAGAAUCGCUAUGAGAUGGACCCGCGUCUGAUUAGCCAGUUGGCAGGGUAAGAGCCUACCAAAGCGACGAUCAGUAGCCGAUCUGAGAGGCUGAACGGCCACAUUGGGACUGAGACACGGCCCAGACUCCUACGGGAGGCAGCAGUGGGGGAUAUUGCACAAUGGGGGGAACCCUGAUGCAGCGACGCCGCGUGAGUGAAGAAGUAUUUCGGUAUGUAAAGCUCUAUCAGCAGGGAAGAUAAUGACAGUACCUGAAUAAGAAGCCCCGGCUAACUACGUG